Pelobates cultripes (western spadefoot toad) is the source of this 605-nucleotide non-coding RNA. The record is from the annotation of a GenBank genome assembly. Lineage: Eukaryota; Metazoa; Chordata; Amphibia; Anura; Pelobatidae.
GUGUCUCCUACCUGGCCGCCUUCUAAUGAUAAGUUCUAUUUAGCAGGACCACGCCCCGCCCAAUUCUUCAAGCAGAGCGGCGAUUGGUUUUCUGAGCUGAGCCGGGAAAACAGAGAACAUCGAUUGGCCAAGGAAGUAGUUUAGCAGUUAGAAUGGGACUCCAUGGAAACACAUGACAACAGCCGGAUCCGGAACGUUGACGUGCAAUGGUGAGUAUGAGCAUAUUAGCAAUGGUUCCUGUGUUCUAUCCAUGCAUUCCUAUCUUACGCAUAAUAACUGUUAUACAAAGGACGCGCAGCGAACUGGAGCUCUGUAUAUUGGCUAUAGAGGAUUAGUGUGCAAGUUAAAAAUAAAUAAAAUACACAUUUUCAGGCAUGUUAAUUAGAAGAGAUUGCACUUUAAAAAGCUGAGUGUUUACAUACAUGUGUCUUAAUUAAUUUUUGGUUAACAUGUUACCAUUCCUUAAUUCAUGCUAACAUGCGUACUUGGUACUUCACAGGCCAUUAGAGUACAGAGAUAGAUGAAUAUCCAGGUAUCAUAAUAGAAUGUAGAGUAAAUAAUACUCUUCUGUCUUUUCAUGUGGCUUGGAAGAUGCAGAAUUAUAG